AAGCAGGUGAUGAAAAAAAAUUGCAAUAAUAUGAUAGAACUUGGUUUCAUGAUUCCUUUGUAUUUAAGUUUCUGAUGAUU
Molecule: non-coding RNA, 80 nt
Organism: Punica granatum (pomegranate)
Lineage: Eukaryota; Viridiplantae; Streptophyta; Magnoliopsida; Myrtales; Lythraceae
Source: Rfam